Molecule: long non-coding RNA, 828 nt
Organism: Passer domesticus (house sparrow)
Lineage: Eukaryota; Metazoa; Chordata; Aves; Passeriformes; Passeridae
Exons: 2
Source: RefSeq, a predicted model, not a curated record
AACAAUUCUGCCUCUCCCUAAAAACCAGGCAAGGAUGGGGAAGGGAAUGGAUGAUCACCCGGGCUGAGCACCCAUCUCAGCUCCCUCCUCUGCACCAUCACAUGCCACCACUACACAGCUCUCCUGGAGAAACACUAAUUAUAGCUCUCCAGCUAAAAACUUUAUUAUACACACACGUACAUAUGCCAGAUUAGCAGCACAGUGCCUUGAGAGAGCUCCCCAGACUCAAACUGAGCCAGAAAAUCAGCUCGUCAGGAGACGCUUUCAACUCCUUAACAAGAGCGAUCUGUGCUUCGCGACGCGUCCUCAAACCCUCGCCGGGAGCUGCGGGGAGCGACAGAUCCCGAAUUCCCGCCGGGAUAACGACCUUGCCCAACACGGCUACGGUCUCUGCCAGCCUCCAAAAAAAAUCCAACUUUACAGGGCUGCCCUUCUGAGCUCUACACUCGAGCACAUCUUUUUACAGGCGGAGAACAAACGCGGGCGGCUGUGCUCUGCCACCGCCGGAGGAUGACAAAAGACGAAGUGCCGAGGAUGUCCAGGAGUUGUGGAGUGCGUGUGGGGGGGGAAUACACGGAGGAAAGGCUGAGUUUGAUCACAGGAGUCCUAACGAGAGAGGGCAGCAGGAGAGACGUGCCUCUGUUUCUUGUCCGCGGCAGGGAUUGCUAACGGAAGGGCUGGAUUUAAGUGCAUCUCAAUCACAAGAUUGGGCUGCGCACAGGAAACUUUGAACAGCCAUAGGAAAAGACCACUCGGCUGCCCGGCCAUCAAUCGCUCAGCUUAUAAAAAUGCAGAUUUAAUAACCGAUUAAAAGAAUAUUAAAAAAUC